GACGAACGCUGGCGGCGUGCUUAACACAUGCCAGUCGAACGGAAAGGCCCUGCUUUUGUGGGGUGCUCGAGUGGCGAACGGGUGAGUAACACGUGAGUAACCUGCCCUUGACUUUGGGAUAACUUCAGGAAACUGGGGCUAAUACCGGAUAGGAGCUCCUGCUGCAUGGUGGGGGUUGGAAAGUUUCGGCGGUUGGGGAUGGACUCGCGGCUUAUCAGCUUGUUGGUGGGGUAAUGGCUUACCAAGGCUUUGACGGGUAGCCGGCCUGAGAGGGUGACCGGCCACAUUGGGACUGAGAUACGGCCCAGACUCCUACGGGGGGCAGCAGUGGGGAAUAUUGCACAAUGGGCGGAAGCCUGAUGCAGCAACGCCGCGUGCGGGAUGACGGCCUUCGGGUUGUAAACCGCUUUCGCCUGUGACGAAGCGUGAGUGACGGUAAUGGGUAAAGAAGCACCGGCUAACUACGUG
This 468-nucleotide ribosomal RNA is filed under the name uncultured bacterium. RNAcentral describes it as "partial 16S ribosomal RNA". It matches the Rfam family "Bacterial small subunit ribosomal RNA", at positions 28 to 507 of the family's 1533-position model. The record is from RNAcentral.